AUGCUGGCUGUUUUGCUUGUUCUUUUUUUACCUGGUCAUGUGGUCGGAAAACUCAUCACACAGUGGCCAGGAGAAACCAUUAAGAGAGUUGGAGAGAGUGUGGACAUCUUCUGCUACCAGAAUUAUACCACACUUGCCUAUAUGUUCUGGUACCAACAGCCUCCAGGAAAUGGUCUGAAGUUAGUAGCCAGUAGUUCUACAUGGAUGCAGAAGUCUUAUGAGGAAGGUUACAGUGAAGCCAAGUUUGAGAUAAGCAGAGACAAUGAUUACUCUGGGAUGAUGAUCAAGAACGUGACAUCCAAGGAUGCAGCCAUGUAUUUCUGCGCUGUGAGUGAUCACACCAGUGUGAAUAAUGAAAGACUGUACUUUGGCAGUGGGACAAAACUCACAGUCCUAGGGAAGAAUGAUGAAAUCAUACCACCAGCUGUGGCCAUCUUUUCCCCAUCAAAGCAAGAGAUCCAACAGAAGAGCAAGGCCACGCUGGUAUGCCUGGCCUCCGGUUUCUACCCCGACCACUUGAAUCUGGUCUGGAAGGUGAACGGUGCUAAGAGGACCCAAGGGGUGGGGACAGAUGAGUUUUCCAUGUGGAACGGGAGUACCUACUCAUUGACCAGCCGACUAAGGAUCUCAGCCCAGGAAUGGUUCAACCCUUUGAGUCGUUUUGAGUGUGUUGCCAAUUUUUUUAAGAAUGAAACAGUGGAAUCAAUACACAAAUUCAUCUAUGGUGAUGCUGGUUGUGUACUCACAGAAGAGUCCUACUUGCGAUAUGGAAAUUCGCUGAAGCUCACUUACCUCAUUCUCUGUGGCAAAGCCUUGCUCUAUGCAGCUUUGGUGACAAGUCUGUUGUGGACAGCCAAG
This is a non-coding RNA of Phaethon lepturus (White-tailed tropicbird), 858 nucleotides long. NCBI's taxonomy places the organism in Eukaryota, Metazoa, Chordata, Aves, Phaethontiformes, Phaethontidae. The record is from the annotation of a RefSeq genome assembly.